UACGUAGGGUGCGAGCGUUGCCCGGAUUUAUUGGGCGUAAAGGGCGCGUAGGCGGCCACGCACGUCCGUUGGGAAAUCGCCCGGCUCAACUGGGCGGGGUCAGCGGAUACGGUGUGGCUCGAGCAAGCUAGGGGGCAAUGGAAUUCCCGGUGUAGUGGUGGAAUGCGUAGAUAUCGGGAGGAACACCAGUGGCGAAGGCGGUUGCCUGGAGCUUUGCUGACGCUGAGGCGCGAAAGCGUGGGGAGCGAUCCGG
This 253-nucleotide ribosomal RNA is filed under the name uncultured bacterium. Its description in RNAcentral is "partial 16S ribosomal RNA". It matches the Rfam family "Bacterial small subunit ribosomal RNA", at positions 524 to 776 of the family's 1533-position model. The record is from RNAcentral.